This 302-nucleotide ribosomal RNA is filed under the name uncultured bacterium. Its description in RNAcentral is "partial 16S ribosomal RNA". It matches the Rfam family "Bacterial small subunit ribosomal RNA", at positions 508 to 807 of the family's 1533-position model. The record is from RNAcentral.
GCAGUAGCCACGGUAAUACAGAGGGUGCGAGCGUUAAUCGGAUUUACUGGGCGUAAAGCGUGCGUAGGCGGCUUCUUAAGUCGGAUGUGAAAUCCCUGAGCUUAACUUAGGAAUUGCAUUCGAUACUGGGAAGCUAGAGUAUGGGAGAGGAUGGUAGAAUUCCAGGUGUAGCGGUGAAAUGCGUAGAGAUCUGGAGGAAUACCGAUGGCGAAGGCAGCCAUCUGGCCUAAUACUGACGCUGAGGUACGAAAGCAUGGGGAGCAAACAGGAUUAGAGACCCCUGUAGUCCCUGUCUCUUAUAC